Molecule: ribosomal RNA, 590 nt
Filed under: uncultured Burkholderia sp.
Lineage: Bacteria; Pseudomonadati; Pseudomonadota; Betaproteobacteria; Burkholderiales; Burkholderiaceae
Description: bacterial SSU rRNA
Rfam family: Bacterial small subunit ribosomal RNA
Source: RNAcentral
UCGGGUUGUAAAGCACUUUUGUCCGGAAAGAAAACUUCGGGGCUAAUACCUCUGGAGGAUGACGGUACCGGAAGAAUAAGCACCGGCUAACUACGUGCCAGCAGCGCGGUAAUCGUAGGGUGCGAGCGUUAAUCGGAAUUACUGGGCGUAAAGCGUGCGCAGGCGGUCUGUUAAGACAGAUGUGAAAUCCCCGGGCUUAACCUGGGAACUGCAUUUGUGACUGGCAGGCUAGAGUAUGGCAGAGGGGGGUAGAAUUCCACGUGUAGCAGUGAAAUGCGUAGAGAUGUGGAGGAAUACCGAUGGCGAAGGCAGCCCCCUGGGCCAAUACUGACGCUCAUGCACGAAAGCGUGGGGAGCAAACAGGAUUAGAUACCCUGGCAGUCCACGCCCUAAACGAUGUCAACUAGUUGCUGGGGUUUCAUUUCCUUAGUAACGUAGCUAACGCGUGAAGUUGACCGCCUGGGGAGUACGGUCGCAAGAUUAAAACUCAAAGGAAUUGACGGGGACCCGCCCAACCGGUGGAUUAAUGUGAUUAAUUCGAUGCAACGCGAAAAACCUUACCUACCCUUGACAUGGUCGGAACCCUGGUG